Molecule: long non-coding RNA, 1458 nt
Organism: Nerophis lumbriciformis (worm pipefish)
Lineage: Eukaryota; Metazoa; Chordata; Actinopteri; Syngnathiformes; Syngnathidae
Source: RefSeq, a predicted model, not a curated record
GGUGGUGUAAAAGCUGAUUUCGGGCUUGAUAAAUAGGAAGCUGUCUUCUUUGGUCAUCAAUCGUCGUUGUUUUUGGUUUCCCGGGCAGCAACAUACCAGCUUUCUGCUUGUCGAGGCGGAAUAAAACAGACGCCGGCUUAAAUUUUUUAGCCGGAGGAUGAUCGGGUUCAUUGGGCAUGAUCGAGAAGAGAAGCUUUCCUCAGAGUCCUGACUUUCUUAAAUAUUACCCUGGAUAUGGCAAAAUAUGAUAGGUCUUUGACGUCAUUCACCAUUCCGGCCUGUCAUGUACAUUAGACGCCACAUCGGGUGAGGUGACACAGGAAAUACAGCCGCCAUCUUGAGCCGGUCUUCUACUCCUCUGAGCAGCAGAAAGAAGAAGGAAGAACACGACCCCACCACAGCAUUGUGCUGAAUAUUCUCGCACAAAUUGGCGGAGCGUGGAAAACAGUGAGAUUGUUGCCAGCAAGCUAUAUGGAAAGCUAUCCAUCCAUCCAUCCAUCCAUUUUCUACCGCUUGUCUCUUUUGGGGUUGCGGGGGUGCUGCAGUCUAUCCCAGCUACACUUGGACGGAAGACGUGGUACACCCUGGACAAGUCCCCACCUCAAUGCAGGGGCAAUUGCUAAUAUGUGAUUAAUGCCAGUGUUCCGGAUAUGAAUCAAUUCUUUAUUAGUCAUAUUCCAUAACAGUGACUUAGAAUAUAACUGACACAAUAAUUCUAUUGUAGUUAUAAAACAAAUAUUAUUGGUAUAACAUUGACCAGCAAUUUCUUUUGCACAUAAUGUACAUGUAAUUUAACAACAGUAAGCUGGCUGUCAUGUCUUAAUAUAUAUCUACUUGAAAAUAUAAAUAACUGGACAUCUGACUGUACAAUAGUUUGUCAUCAAAUUAAUUUGGCUGUUGUUGUAUUCACUAUUUUAGUAGCUUUGCUUCAUUAUGAAAAUAUGCAUCAAAAUAUAAGUUGUUUUUUUAAAAUACAUUUUUAACAUACUUUUAUCAAGUCCCAAGUGUCAUUACAACAUGUAUGCUGAAAUUAUGCUUUUUUCAAUGUUUUUCACUGUUCUCUUUUGUUGUCUUUUUUUUUUUGCAGUGUAUUGCGAUUGAUUGAUUGAUUGAUUGAUUGAUUGAUAUUGCGUGUCUGAGAUGCUUCUAUAUGCUAUGUAUUUCACAACAUUGAUGUUUUGCAUGUAUCAGAAGGAUUGCAAAUCCAGCCAUUCAUCCAUUUUAUACCGCUUGUACCAAUAUGUUCAUAUAAUCUCUUUUAAAUGAUUUUCAAUAUUUUGUUCUUGUUGAAUUGAUCUAGUAUUUAAUGUGUUCAGAUCAGGGGAUUUCAUUUGAUAGUUUGUGGCACUUGUGAUUAAGGGCCAUCAAGUACAUGAUGGUACUGUAUGUAUUGAAUGUAAUGUGAGUCAUGUAAAAGAAAAUUUACUGCUCUAAAGUGUGUCAAGCUAAACAUUGGCU